CUACGGGUGGCUGCAGCUAAGAAUCUUCCGCAAUGGACGAAAGUCUGACGGAGCGACGUCGCGUGGGUGAUGAAGGCGGAAACGUUGUAAAGCCCUUUUAUAGAUGAGGAAUAAGCUUUGGAGGGAAUGCCAGAGUGAUGACGUUAGUCUAUGAAUAAGCCCCGGCGAAUUACGUGCCAGCAGCCGCGGUAACACGUAUGGGGCGAGCGUUGUUCGGAAUUAUUGGGCGUAAAGGGUGCGCAGGCGGUUAUACAAGUCUGGUGUGUAAGACCACAGCUUAACUGGGGGAACGCACUGGAACUGUAUGACUUGAGUAGUGGAAGGGGAGUUGGAAUUCCAGGUGUAGGGGUGAAAUCUGUAGAUAUCUGGAAGAACAUCAGUGGCGAAGGCGAACUCCUGGCCAAUUACUGACGCUGAGGCACGAAAGCGUGGGGAGCGAACAGGAUUAGAUACCCCCGUAGUC
RNAcentral lists this ribosomal RNA (463 nucleotides) under uncultured bacterium. RNAcentral describes it as "partial 16S ribosomal RNA". It matches the Rfam family "Bacterial small subunit ribosomal RNA", at positions 339 to 795 of the family's 1533-position model. The record is from RNAcentral.